Molecule: ribosomal RNA, 434 nt
Filed under: uncultured bacterium
Lineage: Bacteria
Description: partial 16S ribosomal RNA
Rfam family: Bacterial small subunit ribosomal RNA
Source: RNAcentral
AGCGAACGCUGGCGGCAGGCCUAACACAUGCAAGUCGAACGAACCUUUCGGGGUUAUUGGCGGACGGGUGAGUAACACGUGGGAACGUGCCUUUAGGUUCGGCAUAACUCAGGGAAACUUGUGCUAAUACCGAAUGUGCCCUUCGGGGGAAAGAUUUAUCGCCUUUAGAGCGGCCCGCGUCUGAUUAGCUAGUUGGUUGAGGUAAUGGCUCACCAAGGCGACGAUCAGUAGCUGGUCUGAGAGGAUGAUCAGCCACAUUGGGACUGAGACACGGCCCAAACUCCUACGGGAGGCAGCAGUGGGGAAUCUUGCGCAAUGGGCGAAAGCCUGACGCAGCCAUGCCGCGUGAAUGAUGAAGGUCUUAGGAUUGUAAAAUUCUUUCACCGGGGACGAUAAUGACGGUACCCGGAGAAGAAGCCCCGGCUAACUUCGUG